This 744-nucleotide ribosomal RNA is filed under the name Salmonella enterica. Its description in RNAcentral is "bacterial SSU rRNA". It matches the Rfam family "Bacterial small subunit ribosomal RNA", at positions 778 to 1522 of the family's 1533-position model. The record is from RNAcentral. Lineage: Bacteria; Pseudomonadati; Pseudomonadota; Gammaproteobacteria; Enterobacterales; Enterobacteriaceae.
UUAGAUACCCUGGUAGUCCACGCCGUAAACGAUGUCUACUUGGAGGUUGUGCCCUUGAGGCGUGGCUUCCGGAGCUAACGCGUUAAGUAGACCGCCUGGGGAGUACGGCCGCAAGGUUAAAACUCAAAUGAAUUGACGGGGGCCCGCACAAGCGGUGGAGCAUGUGGUUUAAUUCGAUGCAACGCGAAGAACCUUACCUGGUCUUGACAUCCACAGAACUUUCCAGAGAUGGACUGGUGCCUUCGGGAACUGUGAGACAGGUGCUGCAUGGCUGUCGUCAGCUCGUGUUGUGAAAUGUUGGGUUAAGUCCCGCAACGAGCGCAACCCUUAUCCUUUGUUGCCAGCGGUUAGGCCGGGAACUCAAAGGAGACUGCCAGUGAUAAACUGGAGGAAGGUGGGGAUGACGUCAAGUCAUCAUGGCCCUUACGACCAGGGCUACACACGUGCUACAAUGGCGCAUACAAAGAGAAGCGACCUCGCGAGAGCAAGCGGACCUCAUAAAGUGCGUCGUAGUCCGGAUUGGAGUCUGCAACUCGACUCCAUGAAGUCGGAAUCGCUAGUAAUCGUGGAUCAGAAUGCCACGGUGAAUACGUUCCCGGGCCUUGUACACACCGCCCGUCACACCAUGGGAGUGGGUUGCAAAAGAAGUAGGUAGCUUAACCUUCGGGAGGGCGCUUACCACUUUGUGAUUCAUGACUGGGGUGAAGUCGUAACAAGGUAACCGUAGGGGAACCUGCGGUUGGA